AUCUUUAAUACUUCGCAGCGGAAUUAAUUCAAACUUCUAAAACAGUCUUUGGCAUGAAGGCCUCAUCAUAAAUAUCUCUUAGAAAUUCAGUUUAAAAACAUAGUCAUAAACUUCAUAAAGUAAUACGUAAGGAAUAGAAAAGUAUGCAACAAAGUUUCCAUCCCGUUACGUAUCAGAGCAACUAAAGACACACGUGAGA
RNAcentral lists this long non-coding RNA (199 nucleotides) under Medicago truncatula (barrel medic). Its description in RNAcentral is "long non-coding RNA (MTRU_LNC004302)". The record is from RNAcentral. Lineage: Eukaryota; Viridiplantae; Streptophyta; Magnoliopsida; Fabales; Fabaceae.